Molecule: ribosomal RNA, 476 nt
Filed under: uncultured bacterium
Lineage: Bacteria
Description: bacterial SSU rRNA
Rfam family: Bacterial small subunit ribosomal RNA
Source: RNAcentral
CGCGGUUAUCCCGCAAGGGCUAACUGAGUGGCGAACGGGUGAGUAACGCGUGGGUGACCUACCUUCGAGUGGGGGAUAACGUCCCGAAAGGGACGCUAAUACCGCAUAACAUCCUCUUUUUGAACAGAGGGAGAUCAAAGCCGGGGAUCGCAAGACCUGGCGCUUGAUGAGGGGCCCGCGUCUGAUUAGCUAGUUGGUGAGGUAACGGCUCACCAAGGCGACGAUCAGUAUCCGGCCUGAGAGGGCGGACGGACACACUGGGACUGAGACACGGCCCAGACUCCUACGGGAGGCAGCAGUGGGGAAUUGUUCGCAAUGGGCGCAAGCCUGACGACGCAACGCCGCGUGGAGGAUGAAGGUCUUCGGAUUGUAAACUCCUGUUGCCCGGGACGAAUAGCUUCGACCUAACACGUCGGAGUAUGACGGUACCGGGUGAGGAAGCCCCGGCUAACUCUGUGCCAGCAGCCGCGGUAAUA